Long non-coding RNA from Ictalurus punctatus (channel catfish), 763 nucleotides. Lineage: Eukaryota; Metazoa; Chordata; Actinopteri; Siluriformes; Ictaluridae. The record is from Ensembl.
CUCUGUCAGUCUGUAUAGUUUGUAAAGUGAUUGACUCCUCAGAGUCCUGAAAGAAAUGGAGCAGCCACACACAUCUGAUACACACUUCACUUCUCAUUAUUGGAUACACACAGAGUUGGAUGCUAUUUUUAUGGCAGUGUGACGUUCCAGAUUAAUGGAUGGGAACACCUACUAAAGAGAAUCACAUGGUCAGUUUGCAUUAACCUUCAACACUGAGGAUUCACAAUAACCGCAUAUCAGCAUGGGACAGUGUGAAAAGAACGAAGACUACCACCCCUUAAACCAUAUGGACAGAAACAGCUGACACAAAUUAAAAACAUUGGAAUCUAUCAGAGAUGGAGCUAAACAAAAGAUGUGUUGCUGCAAACAACUUUUUGACUUUUGGAGAAGGGAGUCAAUUCUACUGAAACUAAAUCGUAGAGGACAGCAAAUCAUGUCCAUGAUUUGAUUUGGUGGGGGUUUUUGUGUUUGUGUGUGUGUGUGUGUGUGUGUGUGUGUGUGUGUGUGUGUGUGUGUGUGUGUGUGUGUGUGUUUUCUUCCCAUAUUGUGAUGAUAUGUAUUUUAUUUGUUUGCUGUGAUCUGUAUGGACCACAACUGUCAGCUGAAAUAUCCCAGUGUGUAACUGUUAUACUCCAUACUAUAUAAUAUACUGUAUAAGUGCUAUUUCACAAACUGAAAUACUGACCAUGUUCAUAUACGAGGUUUUAAACUGAGUUCAUGUUUAUGUUGUGUUUUUAAACACCUCUCUACCCUGCAAAGGAAG